This 491-nucleotide ribosomal RNA is filed under the name uncultured bacterium. Its description in RNAcentral is "partial 16S ribosomal RNA". It matches the Rfam family "Bacterial small subunit ribosomal RNA", at positions 28 to 507 of the family's 1533-position model. The record is from RNAcentral.
GAUGAACGCUAGCUACAGGCUUAACACAUGCAAGUCGAGGGGAAACGACAUUGAAGCUUGCUUCGAUGGUCGUCGACCGGCGCACGGGUGAGUAACGCGUAUCCAACCUGCCUCUGACCAAGGGAUAACCCGUCGAAAGUCGGCCUAAUACCUUAUGCAGUCGUCGGAAGUCAUCUGAUGACGACGAAAGAUUUCAUCGGUGAGAGAUGGGGAUGCGUCUGAUUAGCUUGUUGGCGGGGUAACGGCCCACCAAGGCAACGAUCAGUAGGGGUUCUGAGAGGAAGGUCCCCCACAUUGGAACUGCGACACGGUCCAAACUCCUACGGGAGGCAGCAGUGAGGAAUAUUGGUCAAUGGGCGAGAGCCUGAACCAGCCAAGUAGCGUGCAGGAUGGCGGCCCUAUGGGUUGUAAACUGCUUUUAUGCGGGGAUAAAGUGAGGGACGUGUCCUUCAUUGCAGGUACCGCAUGAAUAAGGACCGGCUAAUUCCGUG